Long non-coding RNA from Antechinus flavipes (yellow-footed antechinus), 1794 nucleotides. RefSeq lists it as uncharacterized. The record is from RefSeq and is a predicted model, not a curated record. NCBI's taxonomy places the organism in Eukaryota, Metazoa, Chordata, Mammalia, Dasyuromorphia, Dasyuridae. The transcript is spliced from 2 exons.
UCUCAGUCAGCUCACUCUUGGGAAUGGAUGUUGAAGCCUCGGGUGUGAGUUCUGCCUCACUGGCUAAAGGUCCGGGGUACACACCCUGUAGACACACCAAGACAGGUAUCGAGCAUGCACUAAAUCGAGAUCUCCCCCACCGUCUCAAGAGUUGGGCUCCUGGAUACACAAGCUAAACACAUACUUGUUGCUAGGGCACCUUGGUAAGGGAGAUGAGAAGGGUAUAAGUAUAGGACUGCAGAGGGAGAGAGAGGAAGCAGGGAAGCAGGGAAGAAGAAGAAGGGACAAGAUGAUAUAACCAAACAAUAAAGCUUCUCUAACUGCAUAAGUGGUGUCAGACUGCUCUGUUGUAUUCAGAGACGACCUGUUGUAGAGGCCACCAUAAUUGUGGGUGAAGAAACGAAGACAAAUGGGAAUUGGAUGUGAAUUCAGGUGUUGCUGAUUCUAAGCCCAGUACUCUGUCUACUGCACCAUUUAGCUGAUUCUUCCGAUAACAUGAUUUCUUUUAUUUUCACUUUUUGGACUUUGCCACUAUGCCUCAACUGAUUUUUUCACCCUGGAAUAUUCCUCCACCCUUGAAGAUCUCUUCUUCCAAUGGUGAAGUUCUUCAGAGAACUCUCAAUUUGAGAAAAGGCUUAGAAUAAUCAUCCAUUUCCUGAUUUAGCUUCUGUCUCUCUAGACUUUACUACCUGUUGUAAAUAACUUUCCCCCAACUUUUCAACUCCAUUUUAUAUGUUGUCUUUUAUUAGAAUAUAGCUCUUUGAAGUCAGGAACUAUUCUCCUUUUUAUUCAUAUUUGUACCCACUUACCUGACAAAUAAUAGGUACUUAAUAAACGCUUAUUGACUGAGCUUGGGGGACAUAUAGUCCAACCUAGAAAUUAUUAUUGUUCUUGCUCAGUUUUUUUUUUUUGUUUGUUUGUUUUUUUUGUUUUUGUUUUUGUUUUUUGCUGAGGCAAUUGGGGGUUAAAUGACACACAUAUAGGAAGUAUUAAGUGUCUGGGGUCAAAUUUGAACUCAGGUCCUCCUGACUUCAGGGCUGGUGCUCUAUCUACUGCACCACCUAGUUGCCCCUGCUCAUUUUUUUUUAAGUCAUGUCCCCAUUUUCAUGACCCCAUUUUGGAGUUUUUUUUAAGCAAAGAUACUGCAAUGGGUGUGCAGUUUCUUUCACCAGCUCAUUUUAUAGAUGAAGAAAUAGACAAGCAGGAUUAAGUGACUUGGCUAGGAUCACAUAACUAGGAAUUGUCUGAGGCUGAAUUUGAACUUAUGAAGAUGAUUUUCCUGACUCCAAGUCUAGCACUCUAACCACUAUGUCCCUUAGCUGCCUAGAAAUUAUUAUGGCCCAGGGUAAUCAAAGGUAUUGUUUCUGGUUAUGCUCUUUAUAAGUCUCCUGUUCCCCUCCAAAAGAAAAAAUUGCCUUCUGAAGGGGAUGAAGGUAUGAUGUACUGAUUAGGUACUAUGUCCAAAAACAAUAUUUAGGAAUAAGAAAACCAACCUCCAUUGUUUAGAAAAUCCACCCUGCAGCUUUAUUAACUCCCCUUUAUUUUAAACAUCCCUUCUUGUUCAUGGUCUAAUUAUUUUGGUAUUGAAAGGAUUGUCUAUGUCAAUUAUUUCAUUAAAAUAGAGGAAUAAUGUUGCUCCAAGUACAACAAUCUGUGUCUGGUACCCACUGAGAAGCAGCAGGAGAAGGCUCCUAUCUAUAGAGAGCCUGUCGGAAGCUGGAAUUUCCAUCCUAUCAUUACAAAACAUGGUAUUUCAAACAUGAAAAGGCCUCCAAUAAAAAAGAUCACAAAUGA